GCUUUUAUAGCUUAGUGGUAAAGCGAUAAAUUGAAGAUUUAUUUACAUGUAGUU
Molecule: transfer RNA, 54 nt
Filed under: Saccharomyces douglasii
Lineage: Eukaryota; Fungi; Ascomycota; Saccharomycetes; Saccharomycetales; Saccharomycetaceae
Description: partial tRNA-Phe
Rfam family: tRNA
About the family: Transfer RNA (tRNA) molecules are approximately 80 nucleotides in length. Their secondary structure includes four short double-helical elements and three loops (D, anti-codon, and T loops).
Source: RNAcentral